Long non-coding RNA from Triticum aestivum (bread wheat), 2077 nucleotides. RefSeq lists it as uncharacterized. The record is from RefSeq and is a predicted model, not a curated record. Lineage: Eukaryota; Viridiplantae; Streptophyta; Magnoliopsida; Poales; Poaceae. The transcript has 5 exons.
CCGUCCCAUUAGCACGUCGCCGAAUGGCCUAAUAACCCGGCCACGACCUUCCUGUGCACGCUAUCUCCAACUUGAUUCCAUCGUCCUCCUCCUUCUGCAGCGCCGCCGCCGGCCACCAGCCUCCUCCCGCAGAGCCGCCGCCGGCUUCAUCCCACGGCCGUGCGCCUUCCUCCUCCCGCGGCCCUGCUCCCGAUCUUCUCCGGCGGCCGCGCGCCGUCUUACGGCCGUUGCCCCGCUGCCGGUCUCCUCCCACAGACGCGUCGCCGCCGACCCCCAACAGGAUCCCGUGCCUCCACCGCCCCAAGAUCCUAUGCCGUUGGGCGGGAUCCGGCGCCCGCACCCCCAUCGCAUCCACGUCCCUGCGAGCCCAAGCACACCGCCGGCCGCGUGCACUCGACGCGACACCUCCUGCCUCCCCACGUCGUCGCCUACCCCGCCAUCACCGCAACCACGCAUCGCUCGCGGCCGGGAUCCAUCGCGCAGUUCAACCAAGUCCGUGUGUGCAGUCCCUCCUCGUUCGCUUGCUUGACAGCAGAGCAAACAGUGCUCCCAAAUCUGCAGAAGGAGCUCCUGAUUUUUGAGGUCUGAAGUUCAGGUGUACCAUGGAGACUACUACGGCCGUUCGAAACACUAGCAGGCGACGUGCUAGCCAGCUGCAGGUCACGGUCUCCUCUCCUCGAGUUGCAGGUCGUCUAAAUCUGGAGUUCUGGACUAUCUGAUCUACCGGUUUAGCCUGCGCCGACCAUCGAAGCCUACCGAGGAUAAGCAGCACAAUGGGGUGUGGAUAGAUGAGAAAAGGGAAUUUCUCGAUAAGUUGAUUUCGCGGAAAAUAAGAGCUAAUAUAAAACCUGGAGUUGGAAGAUGGGUUUCAUAUUUGAACAGAGAGAGGAAACUAGCGCGGGACCAAGGCUGGCAGGUACCCCGUGCAUCUGCAAGGUGCUCCAGCUGGUCGUCGCCACCUCAUCUACUCGCCGGCUUCCGUACGUGAGCACAACCGGAGAGCCCCUGUAACUUCUACAUCCGCCCACGCAUCCUCAUGCUCUGCCUCCGCUCUCUCCGAUUAGUUGACCUUCUCACGAGGGCCACCACGACCUUCCCUGGACCAGCUAAUUUUUAACUUCAUGGUAUGAAUAAGUUUUAAUAUGUGCCAAAAAAUGUGCACAGAGACGCCGCCCCGCGGCCAAACUCGUGCCUGCGCUUGGCUCCGUCCGCAGCAGCACACCACCUCCCUCGCCGUCCACCUGCCUGUGUUCAUAUUCUACAGAAAAAAUCAGCGGAAAGCUCCACACAGGCAAUUCUUGAUCCCUAGACCAGCUCGAUCAGUUAGUUGUGUGCAGAAUAUUACAUGUAGUUCUUUGGGUUCCCUACUUUCAUUUUGGUAAAACUAUUGAUGAAAAAAUGUACCUAUACAGAAAUUAUGGAUCGGUUCAAGAAAAAUGGAUGUUUACUAAUUUUGCGGUUUAAAGUUUUCUUUGUGUUUUUCUACAGCAGUUUGGAGUGUAUUUAUAUAGAAGAAAAAACAACAGCACGUGCACCGGAGCAGCAGGAGCGCAUUCACCAUCUAUGCACAUGUGUGUGUAGUGCACUUGAGGGAGCACUCCCCUGUUGCUAUUAUGCUCCUACGCCUCCCCAUGGAUCCUGUUCUCUUCUCUUCUUUUUGCUGUGAUUUUGUAAAUUGAAGAUCAUUCAUAACAGGGGAAGAAAAAGUUUUAGAGAGUUUUUCAUAAAAAGCCAUAGAUUUUAUUCUGAUUGUGAUGGACUUUUCUCACAUGUUUAUGCUAGUUCAUGCUCGUUUUGUACUCUUUUUUGUUCUUACUCUGUUUCAGAUUUUGGUUUGAAAAAGUAUGCGCAUGUUGACAGAGACAAUCUAUACAAAGAAGUUCAAAUAUUAUUGCCCUGUAGGUUCAUGUCUUCACAAGGUGUACCACUAUUUUUCUUCUCUCUCAAAAAGUGUGUGUUUUCAGCACUACAAACAGAUCCAAUACCCCGAAGAAAGUUAUGGGAAAAAAUAUAGAAAUUCUAGAGAGGUUGGGGACAAAAGGGUUUCUGUAGCGAACAAUAUUUUAUUCCUAUGGGA